GCCUGGCAUGGUGGUGCGUGCCUGCAGUCCCAGCUACUCAGGAGGCUGAGGUGAGAGAACAGCUUGAGUCCAGGAGUUCUGGGCUGCAGUGCGCUAUGCUGAUCAGGUGUCCAUACUAAGUUCGGCAUCAAUUUGGUGACCUCCAGGGAGCGGGAGAACACCCAUUUGGCUAAGGAGGGGUGAACCAGCCCAGGUCAGCAAUGGAACAGGUCAGAAUCUGGUUCUGUGACUUCCCAAAGCCCUGGGCUUUUCAUUCUAUGCAAUCUCUAAACAAUGAUCAUGAGUACUGUUCCUCUG
Fukomys damarensis (Damara mole-rat) is the source of this 297-nucleotide non-coding RNA. The record is from Rfam. NCBI's taxonomy places the organism in Eukaryota, Metazoa, Chordata, Mammalia, Rodentia, Bathyergidae.